CGCGGGAUAGAGCAGUCGGUAGCUCGUUGGGCUCAUAACCCAGAGGUCGCAGGUUCGAGUCCUGCUCCCGCAACCA
Molecule: transfer RNA, 76 nt
Filed under: Bacillota bacterium
Lineage: Bacteria; Bacillati; Bacillota
Description: tRNA-Met
Rfam family: tRNA
About the family: Transfer RNA (tRNA) molecules are approximately 80 nucleotides in length. Their secondary structure includes four short double-helical elements and three loops (D, anti-codon, and T loops).
Source: RNAcentral